Non-coding RNA from Microcebus murinus (gray mouse lemur), 3800 nucleotides. The record is from RefSeq and is a predicted model, not a curated record. NCBI's taxonomy places the organism in Eukaryota, Metazoa, Chordata, Mammalia, Primates, Cheirogaleidae.
GAAGGAAAAGAGGAGAUGACUGUUAGUGACAACAGCAAGAGCCAGUCUUUGGCCCAUGGCACCUUGCAGGGUAGAACCCCUCCCUCCAUAGUAACUCUCAUUUUCUCAGGAGUGGAAAGGAAAGGUCACUGUGCCCCACCUGUGCCCCAGCCCGAGCAGAGAGGACCCUCAGCACUCACCAUGGAGUGGCCCAGGUGCUCGCUCACACUCUCAGACAGGUAGAGCAACUUCCCCUCAGCUGUGAACACAAGCAGAAAUCCAGGUAGUGCUGCCACGAUGUCCUCAAGCUCUUCGGCUGAGAGAAGCCCCGUGGGGCCCUCCAGAGGAGUGCCUGUAGGGUGAGAAGAUGCGGUGAGUCAAGAGUACGAUGGGAGGCAAAGUAGAAAUGAGUGAGGCGCGGUAUGAAUUGCAGAGAAUCCAGAGGAAUUCCUCAUGGACCUGCCUCUCCAAACACCUGUUGACCCGCUGCUCGUGGCCCGGGAACCUGUUGCCGGAUCUCCACAGCCAGCGAGCCCUUCGGCUUCUAAGCCGGCCGGAGCCUCCGCGAGCCUGGGUUUCAGCACCGCGGACAGAGCUCCCAAGCGGACCGUAGGUUCAGCACCGCGGACAGCGCCAUCAGCACCGCGGACAGCGCUCCAAAGGCGGCGGAAAAGCCGGUUCAGCGCCGCGAACAGAACAGCGGCUGCCUUCCCAGGCUCCGGCGGCUCCGGCGGCUCCAUCCCUGCAACUUCCCGGACUUCCCUGCCUGGCUCCCGGGCGCAUCUGCACUGGCGGGGACUGAGACCAUUCUGACCUGGCUCUCUCCUCCCACAGACCUGGUGUUAGGGAACCCCCAGACCGUCUAACCCUCACCCAGAACUGAGGCAAGGUCUGGACAGAGCUCGGAGGAAAAGCGGGAGUCCUGAACCCCGAGUCCCGUCACCCACUCGCCAGCACGCUGCCGGACCUUCGGCAGCCUCGGCGGAGCUUCCCUGAGCUCCGCCAUCCCCGGCGCCCGCCGGCUCGGUCUCCGGUAGCCCAGCUCGCUCACCUCCAGCGAAGAAGACGCCCUUGCGAGUGUAGAUGCAGGCGAGGCUCAUGAUGUGCAGACUCCCAAGUGCCUCGCCAGUGUCUGUGGCUGACCGGUCUGUGCAGUGAAAAUGGGACCCCGAGUCGAGCUGGUUUAUGCAACAGCCGUGUUGUCUUAGCUGCAUCGCGGCAGGCUGUCGUCUUUCUCCUAAGGCCCUUUCAUUAAGCUCUCACUCGUCAAUUCUACGGCACACGGAAGCAUUCGGAACAGCUUAUCUAUUUAUGGUUAUGAAAUCAACAAAUCUUGUGCAGGGAGGCACAGCUGGCACCCAUGCACAGAGAUGGUCGGGGACAGGUGGGUGAGCCGACGGGAGAGGCGAGGGACACGGGACCACGGAGGGUGCGAGGGGGAGAGCAGAGCGGGGGAAGGAGAAGGUGAGCUGUUCCCGGCCAGGGCCUGAAGGCAGGGCUGAGACACAAGGAAUGCAACGACCCGACCAACCAACCGGAGUGUCAGACCUGCCACAUUCCAAGGAGGGAAGAAUCCACUAAAACCACUUUUCAAAUGCAGAGUGGGGAUCCCCCAGCUCCUCCAAGUGCCCUGGGCAGCCAGGAACGAAGGACCUAGGCCCUGCCCUCGAGGAGCAGGGGGCCAAGGAGGAGACAGACCCCUGCGCAUUCACUCUUGGAGUCCUCCCGCUGGUGAAUCCCUCCGAGCCCUCUGGCCCGACAGCUGGUCUGGCAAAUCGCCCCACCCCACCCCAGUGUCCCCAGCCCCUGUGCUUCCUCAGCACUGCCCUUGUCACCCUGCACUGUCCCCACUUGCUUCCUGGGCCAUCUCCCCUGCCAGCACCCACGUCCGGUCCCCGCUUUCCCAGCACCCAGCAUGUAAGGCGUUUGCAGGACAGACACCGAGGGGACCAUCCUCUGGGGGGGACAUGGCAGUUGACAGACUCAGGCCAGGCUCGGCCCCAUGGAGCCUCCAGGCUGGGGAGGAAGUGAGAACUGCAUCCGCCCCCCGGGCUGGGAUGCUGCCGCCAGGGCGGCGUGCAGGGUGUCCGGGAGCGAGAGGAGGCUGACCCAGCCUGGGGAGACUGGGGACGCCACAGCAGGGACCCUGUCUGCUUUGCUCCCUGUCGACUGUUCAGCAUGGUGUCGUAAGACCCUCCAUACACAUUUGUAAGACGUUUACAUAAGACACAAGCAAUGGAGGUGUCUACUCAGAGCAGAGAAGGCUCAAAGGGGGGUGUCGGCAUCUUCAGUCACCCACAGGACGGCCACCGGGAGGCAGGGGCAGAUACGGUCCGCGUGGAGAGGUGGCAGGGGCCUGAGGAAGGACAGGCAGGAUAGAGUCCUGCCACCCUCACAGACUGACUUUGUGACGUUGGUCAGUUAAGUAGCUUAACCUUUUGUGCCUCAGUUUACUCAUCUGUUAACUAAAGAUGUGAGCAGAACAACUGCACCUCCUUCAAGGGGUCGAUGUGAGAAUUAAAGGAGUUAAAUAGGUAAAGCCCUUAGAAAUCACCCAACGCAUGAAAGGAGCACGAUAAAUGUUCAAUGGUGGAUGUCAUUCAUUAUCUUAACUUUAUGAAAGACAGGAUUGUGAGCAGGCGGUGCAGAGAAGGCAGGGCUGGCGCAGGGCCUGGCACACGCCCUGCCACUGCCAGUGCAGGAGCAGCUUGGGCCCCCUCUGGCUUCCGCAGCUUUGGGCCGGGCUGGGUCUGACAGUACCAGCCGCUGUAGGCCAGACUGGGGGCUGCGCGGCUCCGACAAAAAGGACAAAGGUGAGAGUGGGGUCUGGGAAGUCGAGGGGUGCUCACAAGUGGCCCUGAGGGCUCGGGCUCGGGGUGCCCCUUCCCAGGGCCUCUGCUGGCUCCCACGCUGCUCACCAUGACUCGGGACAAGCGCCCUGGCUGUGCCUAACACACCCAUCCAGUGUCCAGCAACCAAGCUCCCCUUGCAUGUUUCUAGAAGCCACCCUGUCCGUGCUCUUCCCUCACUUAAAACCUUCAUGGCUCCCUCACUUCCCAUUACCCCAAACCCUUCCUGGCCGGCGCCUGCUGCCUUCCCUCCACCCUCAGGUGCCCAGGCCACCGCGGGCUCCAGCUUCAGGCCCGCCCGUGUUAGCAUCUCAGCACGCCUUGUGACGGGACAGCAACAGAUGUGACGGGUGCAAACUCGCCCGCACCUUGUGUACCCAACAGCCAACCCCUCGGGCCAUUCUCACAGCUCAAUGUGACUGCAACAAAGGACUCACCGUUGGGGGGCGCCGGUGGGUUCCAAGGUGCACACAACAGGUCAUCUUCAGAGUGGUCCACGCAGCCUGUGGCUGAAGCAGCUACUGUCUCCAGCAUUCCUUAGCUUCACGCUGGUGGGAGGAAGACGACCCUCUCAGGAGGUCCCACAGCUGGCCACACAGGGACGCCACAGCCUGGCCAAAACACUCAAGUUCAGAAAAUCCCAGACUUACAGUCGGAACUGGGCCCCUUACAGACCAUCUCCGCCGCACUGUCCUAGUGCCGAGAACGGAGUGACCCAAGUGACAUGGCCAACGCGUGGUGGAAGCGGACCCCCAGCCAGGUCCUGGGCUCACAGAGCAGCGGCCUGGCAUGCCUCCCGAGGGGGGCCCCGCGGGAUCCAGCAGCACAGGAGGAGCCUGCGCCGGGAGGCAGGGGCUGGGUCCUAGGCUCAACAACACGCUGACUUGCUGUGUGGCCUUGGCAAAUCGUAUCUUGCCAAGGGAUGCCUCAGUUUCCCCUUCUGUGCAUUAAAGGCUUGGCCCUGGGAACGUA